Molecule: transfer RNA, 71 nt
Filed under: Toxocara canis (dog roundworm)
Lineage: Eukaryota; Metazoa; Nematoda; Chromadorea; Rhabditida; Toxocaridae
Rfam family: tRNA
About the family: Transfer RNA (tRNA) molecules are approximately 80 nucleotides in length. Their secondary structure includes four short double-helical elements and three loops (D, anti-codon, and T loops).
Source: Rfam by way of RNAcentral
CGGGCACUAGCUCAGUGGUAGAGCUCCCGCUUCAUAUGGGGGAGACCUGGGUUCGAUUCCCGACUGCUUAC